Molecule: long non-coding RNA, 878 nt
Organism: Cercocebus atys (sooty mangabey)
Lineage: Eukaryota; Metazoa; Chordata; Mammalia; Primates; Cercopithecidae
Exons: 3
Source: RefSeq, a predicted model, not a curated record
AAUUGGGGGUGAGAAGGAAGAUACAGGGGAAGCUAAGGACAAGCUUAUUAUGCUGUAAACUUUGCGAGAGAAUUGCAGUGUUCACUUCCAUUCAAUCGUUAGGCCCCCGCCUCAAUCGCCCUGUGAAUAGCUACUGUUCUGUGAGAGCCUACUAUGUGCUUGGUGCGCCCUCACAUCUACCAUCAUUAUUCUUGCUGGAAACAUGAAGUCUUGAGGAGGCUCAGGGAGGAGGAAAACAGGCCAACCAGUGUCUGCACCAGGAGGCCUGGCCUUCUGGAAAUGUGUUGGACAGCAAAGGGUCUACACUUCUGCUUUGGCUCCUGAAUGUGACAUAGCCAACCCAUGAGAGAUGUCAGUUGACAAAGAGCAUGAGGGUCAGGCCAUGGCCUCGUGACACAGUGGAUGAACAUCUGGCUGAAGAAAACCAGGAGAGAGAAGCAUUGGACACUGGCUUCCAGGCUUGGCUGCGUGGGCUCUGGCCAAGGUCUGGGGAUGUCCAGGACAAUCAGCUUUCUGCUUCUGUGUCCGUAAUCUCGGGGUAUGGACUCAUUUCCAGUGCUGAGAAGUUCUGAAAUUGCAAGAUUCUUCCUAGCAAGUUCCUGACCUGUCUUCUAACUCCCAUGCCAUGUGGCCCUCUCUGGGCCUCAGUUUCCCAUCUGUGAAUGAAAGCACUAGACUCGAAGGGUCCCUUCUGGCUCCUCUAAUUCCAACCCAGAGGCACAGCUCAGGCUGAGCAGUUGCAUUUCCUCAUCACGGGGGACUGACAGGGAUCUUUUGCAAUGCUUAAUUCCAGCAUCAAAAUUCCCCCAAAUAUUCGUGGUUUUUUUUUUCUUUUUUUGAGAUGGAGUCUCACUCUUGUCGCCCAAGCUAGAGUGCAA